GACGAACGCUGGCGGCGUGCUUAAAACAUGCAAGUCGAACGGGGUCCAUCCUUCGGGAGAAGACCUAGUGGCGAACGGGUGAGUAACACGUGAGCAACCUACCCCAGAGACUGGGAUAAGCCAGGGAAACUUGGUCUAAUACCGGAUAAUCUCAUCCCGCUACUAACGGGUUGAGCAAAUGGUUUUUCGCUUUGGGAUGGGCUCGCGGCCUAUCAGCUUGUUGGUGGGGUAACGGCCUACCAAGGCAUCGACGGGUAGCUGGUCUGAGAGGAUGGUCAGCCACACUGGGACUGAGACACGGCCCAGACUCCUACGGGAGGCAGCAGUUAGGAAUCUUGCGCAAUGGGCGAAAGCCUGACGCAGCAACGCCGCGUGAGGGAUGACGGCUUUCGGGUUGUAAACCUCUUUCAGCAGGAACGAAAAUGACGGUACCUGCAGAAGAAGCACCGGCCAACUACGUGCCAGCAGCCGCAGUAAAAC
RNAcentral lists this ribosomal RNA (480 nucleotides) under uncultured bacterium. RNAcentral's name for it is "bacterial SSU rRNA". It matches the Rfam family "Bacterial small subunit ribosomal RNA", at positions 28 to 526 of the family's 1533-position model. The record is from RNAcentral.